Molecule: unclassified non-coding RNA, 146 nt
Filed under: soil metagenome
Description: partial internal transcribed spacer 1
Source: RNAcentral
UAAUAAGUGUUUUAUGGCACUUUUUAAAUCCAUAUCCACCUUGUGUGCAAUGUCAGUCGAUCUUCUUCAUGGAGAUCGACCAAACAUCAACCUUUAUCUUUUCAACUCUUUGUCUGAAAAAUAUUAUGAAUAAACAAUUCAAAAUA